CAACAGGGAUUGCCUCAGUAACGGCGAGUGAAGCGGCAAAAGCUCAAAUUUGAAAUCUGGCGCCUUCGGCGUCCGAGUUGUAAUUUGGAGAGGCAUCUUCGGGUGGGCGCAGGCCUAUGUUCCUUGGAACAGGACGUCACAGAGGGUGAGAAUCCCGUGCACGGCCGGCUGUCCCCGUCCAUGUGAAGUGUCUUCGACGAGUCGAGUUGUUUGGGAAUGCAGCUCAAAAUGGGUGGUAAAUUUCAUCUAAAGCUAAAUAUUGGCGAGAGACCGAUAGCGCACAAGUAGAGUGAUCGAAAGAUGAAAAGCACUUUGAAAAGAGAGUUAAAAAGUACGUGAAAUUGUUGAAAGGGAAGCGCUUGAGACCAGACUUGACCUGGGGAUGAUCAGCAGUCCUUCUGGGCUGUGCACUCGCCUCAGCGUCGGGCCAGCAUCGGUUGGGACGGCAGGAUAAAGGUCGCGGGAAUGUGGCUCCCCUCGGGGAGUGUUAUAGCCCGUGGCGCAAUGCUGCCUGCCCCGACCGAGGACCGCGCUUCGGCUAGGAUGCUGGCGUAAU
RNAcentral lists this ribosomal RNA (556 nucleotides) under Rhizina undulata. RNAcentral describes it as "eukaryotic LSU rRNA". It matches the Rfam family "Eukaryotic large subunit ribosomal RNA", at positions 66 to 635 of the family's 3401-position model. Lineage: Eukaryota; Fungi; Ascomycota; Pezizomycetes; Pezizales; Rhizinaceae. The record is from RNAcentral.